UAUUAACCCAGAUGGCAAUCAUGGACCUGAGGGUAAGACUACUGAAAUUGAUGAUUUUGAAAAACAUCAACCUAAAAAACGAAAAUUGGAUUUUACAAAAAAGAAAUGUGAUGUCUCUGAGACCAGUAAUUCAAAAAAAGACACUGGGUCUGGUUUUCCUGAAGUGAUUGAAGUAUGUGAUGAUUUAAUAUUUUAUAAAAUACAUUGAGAAUUAUUUUUAACUCUGGUGAAUAAUUAUUAUAUUUCAAGAUCUAAAAACAAUAAGCUCAUUAAAAUUUUUUAGGUUCCAAAAACACCAUCAAAAACUUCAGGUUCUAAUGUGACUCUAACAAAAGUAGUUGAUUUGACAGAUGAGCCCACUACUAAUACAACACAGUAUGUAACUAAAAAGGAUUUCACCGAAGCAAUGAAAAACGUAAUGGAUUUUUUUCAAAGUUGCAAUAAUCAAAUUAAAGUACUAGUCGGACAAAGUGGAAACCAACCAAGUUGCUCAGGGGCCAGUUCUGCUACUAAUAAAUCAUCAAAAG
Molecule: long non-coding RNA, 527 nt
Organism: Microplitis mediator
Lineage: Eukaryota; Metazoa; Arthropoda; Insecta; Hymenoptera; Braconidae
Exons: 3
Source: RefSeq, a predicted model, not a curated record